AGAGUUUGAUCCUGGCUCAGAAUCAACGCUGGCGGCGUGCCUAACACAUGCAAGUUGAGCGCUUGAGGGGGGCAACCCCCAAGAGAGCAGCGAACGGGUGAGUAACGCGUGGGUGAUCUUCCCUCGAGUGGGGAACAACAUCGGGAAACUGGUGCUAAUUCCGCAUAAUACCCUGGGGCUACGAGCCUCAGGAUCAAAGCCGGGGACCGCAAGGCCUGGCGCUUGAAGAUGAGCCCGCGUCCGAUUAGCUAGUUGGCGGGGUAAUGGCCCACCAAGGCUUCGAUCGGUAGCCGGCCUGAGAGGGCGGACGGCCACACUGGAACUGAGACACGGUCCAGACUCCUACGGGAGGCAGCAGUGGGGAAUUUUUCGCAAUGGGCGCAAGCCUGACGAAGCAACGCCGCGUGGAGGAUGAAGGUCUUCGGAUUGUAAACUCCUGUCGACCGGGACGAAUGCACUCGACCUAAUACGUCGGAAUGUUGACGGUACCGGUGGAGGAAGCCACGGCUAACUCUGUGCCAGCAGCCGCGGUAAUACAGAGGUGGCAAGCGUUGUUCGGAAUUACUGGGCGUAAAGGGCGCGUAGGCGGCCUUGUAAGUCUCGUGUGAAAGCCCUCNGCUUAACUGAGGAUCUGCACGGGAUACUGCGAGGCUUGAGUUCGGGAGAGGAAAGCGGAAUUCCGGGUGUAGCGGUGAAAUGCGUAGAUUUCCGGAGGAACACCAGUGGCGA
RNAcentral lists this ribosomal RNA (729 nucleotides) under uncultured bacterium. RNAcentral describes it as "bacterial SSU rRNA". It matches the Rfam family "Bacterial small subunit ribosomal RNA", at positions 8 to 718 of the family's 1533-position model. The record is from RNAcentral.